Long non-coding RNA from Oncorhynchus masou masou (cherry salmon), 2714 nucleotides. RefSeq lists it as uncharacterized. The transcript has 3 exons. Lineage: Eukaryota; Metazoa; Chordata; Actinopteri; Salmoniformes; Salmonidae. The record is from RefSeq and is a predicted model, not a curated record.
GCUAACCAGACAGCGGAUAGACGUGCAGCAGCAAGGAUCUUGUGAGAUAAGCUUUUUAUUUUUUAUUUCCCUUUGAAUAUAAAUCUUACCAAAAGCUUAAAUUACUACCAGCAAAAACUAUUUUGUAUAGAUUAGCAUAGCAGACUUCGGUGGUUUGCAGCCUCUGGUUUUACCCGAACCCCUUCUGUUGUCAUUCAAAACACGUCAGAGAAAAUGGCGGAACUUGAAAAAGACGCAGUACUACCCCAACCAAUGCAGGAGAACCGAGAUGAAGAGGAGCCGGGCAAUUCCAUGGAUUUUCCAAAAAACGUAAAUAUCUACUCCAAAGUAAGAUUCAAAGAUGUCUGCAGAAAGACGGCAUGUUUUUGAACUACCGCAGAGGAGAUGGACACCUCAGAAGACCUGCAAGAUGACAACCUGAUCAAGCGGGACCUCUUCCACAGUUCUAAUAAUAAGCAGCAGGAUGGACAUUUGGCAGUUAGGAGGAAUGUUAUAUUAGAACGAACAAAAUUCAACCAAAGACAACAGGAAGCAGGAGAGACAGCUGAUGAUUUUAUCUCUGCACUUCAUUGUUUGUCAGAACAUUGUGGUUAUGGAGCUCUGCUCAGUGAGAUGAUAAGAGACCGAGUAGUCGCAGGCUUACAUGACAGAAGAUUGUCCAAGCAAUUACAAAUUGACCCAGAACUAACACUGGAUAAAGCUGUCACACGCAUUCGUCAAACUGAACUUGUGAAAAAGCCACAGGACCUGCCAGAGUAUGCCUUCAAAGCUGCCAGCAGUGCAGCAAAUGUAGAGAGUGUGCUUUCACAUAGCAAACAGCAAUGCCCAGCCAAUGUCCAGUGCCAAUCAGAGAAGAAUCAAAACUCAGAAAGACCACAACAACCUCAAACAACGCAGGAGAAUGCAGAAGAUCUCCUAGAUACUAAUGACACUAAUGGCUUCAGUCCUGGAGGAGAAAAGCCUCACUACUGCGCCUACUGUGGUAGGAGCUUUCAAAAAGUAAGGGAUCUUAUAAGACACCAGCGAACACAUACUGGAGAGAAGCCUCACAACUGCUCUGAUUGCAACAGAAGUUUUGCUCGAUUAGAUAAUCUCAAGUCACACCAAAAAAUACACGUGAAAGACAAACAUCAUUUUCACUCCACUAAAUGUGUGGAAAGCUUUGUCCUAUUGGAGAAGCUUGAAAAACACCUGCUGGAGAAUACCUUCAAAGCUACCAGCAGUCCAGCAAAUGUAGACAGUGUGCCUGAACUUGGUAAAAAUCAGCACCCAGAAAGACAACUGCCCCAAACAACCCUGGAGAACAGAGAGAAGCCUCAUCAUGAUACUUCCGAUGACCCUAUUGUGAGUUCUAAUGGAGGUGAGAGGCGUCAUCCCUGCUCCGACUGUGGGAAGAACUUUAUACGAGUUUAUCAUCUUAAAAGACACCAACGAACACAUACGGGAGAGAAGCCUCAUCGCUGCUCUGAUUGUGGCAAAAGUUAUUCUCAGUCGUAUGAUCUGAAAAUACACCACCAGCGAAAGCAUAUGAAAGGGAAAUACUUCCACUGCAAUCAUUGUGAAGAAUGUUUCUCCAAACCAGAGGAUCUGAACACACACAUGCAUGUACAUGCUGGAGAAAAGCCAUACCUUUGCCCAGACUGUGGGAAGAGAUUCCAGUUGUUAAAUGCAUUUGAAAUGCACCAACAAAAACAUACUUUGGGGCUUCUUGAGUGCUCUUAUUGUGGUAAAAGUUUUUCUAAGGUGGAUAAACUUAAACUACACCAGCGAACGCAUACGGGAGAGAAACAUUUUCGCUGCCCUGAUUGUGGGAAAAGUUUUACCCGCUCGGAUCUUCUGAAAAGUCACCAGAGGACACAUAAGAAAGAGGGUGAUUGUCCUAACUGUGAUAAGAGCUUUUCUGAACCAGUAGACCUAAAAAUACACAUGGAAGUACAUAGUCAAGAAAGGCCUCACCUUUGCCCCGACUGUGGGAAGAGAUUCAAACUGUUAUGGUCGUUGAAAAAGCACCAGCGGAAACACACAGAGAAGAUCUCACCAAGGGAAAAGCGUCACCACUGUUCCGACUGCGAUAAGAGUUUUACGCGCGGAUAUCAUCUUAAAAGACAUCGGGAAACACACACAGGAGAAAAGCCUUACCACUGCUCUAAUUGUGACAAAAGCUUUGCAGGAAAGGAGAGGCUUAAACAACAUCAAGUAACACACAAGGAAAAGAAACGUCACCGCUGUUCAAGGUGUGAUAAAAGAUUUCCUGACAUGGCAAAACUACGAUCACACCUUCCAGUACAUUCCGUAGAACUGGCACUCCACUGUUCUGACUGUGGAAAGUAUUUCUUAAACAAGGCAAAGUUUGAAAGACACCAAAAAAUACACACUGGAAGUGGAAAAAUACCAUUCCUCUGCACUGACUGCGGGGAGGGUUUUACAAAUUUGCGUCAGUUGGAAGACCACCAGCGAACACACACUGGGGAGAAACCGUACUGCUGCACUGAUUGUGGGAAGAGUUUUGCACAUGAAAAAACAUUUAAGUGUCACAAGCAAGCGCACAAGUUCAAACUUUCUGGAGAAAGAGCAGCCUAUCCUUGCUCGGAAUGUGGAAAUACUUUUUCUCGUUCAUGUGAUGUGAUGAGUCAUGUGAGAAGGGUGCAUAAUAAAGAGAGACCUUUUCAGUGCUCCUGCUGUGGAAAAAGAUUUUUCCAAAAGAACUCACUCAC